This 494-nucleotide ribosomal RNA is filed under the name uncultured bacterium. RNAcentral's name for it is "partial 16S ribosomal RNA". It matches the Rfam family "Bacterial small subunit ribosomal RNA", at positions 28 to 507 of the family's 1533-position model. The record is from RNAcentral.
GACGAACGCUGGCGGCGUGCUUAACACAUGCAAGUCGAACGGAAAGGCCUGCUUUCCCUUGUGGAUUGCGGGUACUCGAGUGGCGAACGGGUGAGUAACACGUGAGUGAUCUGCCCCCAACUUGGGUAUAAGCCUGGGGAACUGGGUCUAAUUCCCGAUAGGACUGCAGGGUGGUGCCUGUGGUGGAAAACGAUUUUCUAGUGGUUGGGGAUGAGCUCGCGGCCUAUCAGCUUGUUGGUGGGGUAAUGGCCUACCAAGGCGGCGACGGGUAGCCGGCCUGAGAGGGUGGACGGCCACAUUGGGACUGCGAUACGGCCCAGACUCCUACGGGAGGCAGCCGUGGGGAAUAUUGCACAAUGGGCGGAAGCCUGAUGCAGCGACGCCGCGUGGGGGAUGACGGCCUUCGGGUUGUAAACUCCUUUCGACCGCGAGGAAGCCACCUGGUUGGAAGGGUGGUGACGGUAGUGGUAGAAGAAGCACCGGCUAACUACGUG